CCUACGGGCGGCAGCAGUGAGGAAUAUUGGUCAAUGGACGCAAGUCUGAACCAGCCAUGCCGCGUGCAGGAAGACGGCUCUAUGAGUUGUAAACUGCUUUUGUACGAGGGUAAACGCAGAUACCCGUCUCUGUCUGACAGUAUCGUACGAAUAAGGAACGGCUAACUCCGUGCCAGCAGCCGCGGUAAUACGGAUGAUGCGAGGGUUAUCCGGAUUUAUGGGGUCUAAGGGGGCCGCAGGCGGUCUGUAAAGGCAGCGGUCAAAGCCCGGGGCUCAACCCCGGCCCGCCGUUGAAACUGGCAGUCUCGAGUUGGAGAGAAGUAUGCGGAAUGCGCGGUGUAGCGGUGAAAUGCAUAGAUAUCGCGCAGAACUCCGAUUGCGAAGGCAGCAUGCCGGCUCCACACUGACGCUGAGGCACGAAAGCGUGGGUAUCGAACAGGAUUAGAUACCCUUGUAGUC
This 459-nucleotide ribosomal RNA is filed under the name uncultured bacterium. RNAcentral's name for it is "partial 16S ribosomal RNA". It matches the Rfam family "Bacterial small subunit ribosomal RNA", at positions 338 to 795 of the family's 1533-position model. The record is from RNAcentral.